This 460-nucleotide ribosomal RNA is filed under the name uncultured bacterium. RNAcentral describes it as "partial 16S ribosomal RNA". It matches the Rfam family "Bacterial small subunit ribosomal RNA", at positions 338 to 795 of the family's 1533-position model. The record is from RNAcentral.
CCUACGGGUGGCAGCAGUGAGGAAUAUUGGUCAAUGGCCGUAAGGCUGAACCAGCCAAGUAGCGUGAGGGAAGACUGCCCUAUGGGUUGUAAACCUCUUUUAUGCGGGGAUAAAGGUGUCCACGUGUGGAUGUUUGCAGGUACCGCAUGAAUAAGGACCGGCUAAUUCCGUGCCCGCAGCCGCGGUAAUACGGAAGGUCCGGGCGUUAUCCGGUUUUAUUGGGUUUAAAGGGAGCGUAGGCCGGUCUUUAAGCGUGCCGGGAAAUUUUGUGGCUCAACCAUGUGAGUGCGGCGGAAACUGGAGACCUUGAGUGCGCGGGAGGCAGGCGGAAUGCGUGGUGUAGCGGUGAAAUGCAUAGAUAUCACGAAGAACCCCGAUUGCGAAGGCAGCCUACCGCAGCGUGACUGACGCUGAUGCACGAAAGCGCGGGUAUCGAACAGGAUUAGAUACCCUUGUAGUC